RNAcentral lists this long non-coding RNA (881 nucleotides) under Equus caballus (horse). RNAcentral describes it as "lncRNA (ENSECAG00000053273.1)". Lineage: Eukaryota; Metazoa; Chordata; Mammalia; Perissodactyla; Equidae. The record is from RNAcentral.
AAAGGGCAGCUCAGAGGCUACUCACUCAGAUGCAGCCACAGAGAGGAGGGGAGAGUUGCUCCAGAGAAAAGGGCAGCCCCAGAUGCUUGUUUGGAGAGAAAGGACCACUGAAAGGUUCUACUUACGGAGGAGUACUUUACAUUCAUCUCAGAUGACUGGAGCACAUAUCAGGAAGACCCAGGAAAGUGCUGACCUUCCCGUUCUUGUGGCUCUUAUCAGACUAGAUGCUCACCCUCUCCGCACACAGGACCAUCUUGAGGGGGGCAUCCCAUGUAAGCAAAAUGUGGAAAAGCCAGUGACCAUCAACAAAACAAAACAUCAAAGCCAACUAAUAAAGGGAGAAAGACAAUAUUUGGGAGAACGAGGAGCACAAUGGAUGUUUGGGGAUGUGAAGAGAGAAGAAAUGGAGAAGGAAGCCUACCUCUCUCCCUUUCUGGGGCAUCAGUGUCUUCUCUGGUCUUUUAAGCAAGUGAAAGGAUGUUGUCCAACCAAAGUACCAUUUACAAAUACAAUAUUCUCUUUAUGGCAACGCUCUAAAUGCCGGCCCCAGUGUUUUGAUCCUCAAAUGGAAGUGUGACCGUUGUGCGAGAGGAACUCUUACAGGAGUAACUACAGUGGACGGCUUUACAUUGGGGAUGAUGGGAUUCCUGCACCUGAACCUCGCAUCCCCUGAUACAACAGGCACUCGCUGGGUGCUGAAUUAUGGCCGUGCCACCUGUGAAGCGGGGACUUGUAUGUGAUCCUGCUGAAGAAACAAGACACACAUACACAGACGAAGGAGAGAAGCCACCAUCAGGCCCAAUGUCACGGUGAGCUGUGGGAGACCAGAGUUAGGGGGGUGAAUAUGAAGAUUUAUGUAAUGCCUUUUACGUGGUUGGCAG